UACGAAGGGUGCGAGCGUUAAUCAGAAUUACUGGGCGUAAAGAGUGCGUAGGCGGACGUAUAAGUUAGAUGUGAAAUCCCCGAGCUUAACUUGGGAAUUGCAUUUAAGACUGUAUAUCUAGAGUCUGUAAGAGGGGGGUAGAAUUCCGAGUGUAGCAGUGAAAUGCGUAGAGAUUCGGAGGAAUACCGGUGGCGAAGGCGACCCCCUGGUAUAAGACUGACGCUGAGGCACGAAAGCGUGGGUAGCAAACAGG
RNAcentral lists this ribosomal RNA (253 nucleotides) under uncultured bacterium. Its description in RNAcentral is "partial 16S ribosomal RNA". It matches the Rfam family "Bacterial small subunit ribosomal RNA", at positions 524 to 776 of the family's 1533-position model. The record is from RNAcentral.